RNAcentral lists this ribosomal RNA (496 nucleotides) under uncultured bacterium. RNAcentral describes it as "partial 16S ribosomal RNA". It matches the Rfam family "Bacterial small subunit ribosomal RNA", at positions 29 to 507 of the family's 1533-position model. The record is from RNAcentral.
AUGAACGCUGGCGGCGUGCCUCAUACAUGCAAGCCGAGCGAACAGAUGAGGAGCUUGCUCCUCUGGCGUUCGCGGCGGACGGGUGAGUAACACGUGGAUAACCUACCUAUAAGACUGGGAUAACUUCGGGAAACCGGAGCUAAUACCGGAUAAUAUAUUGAACCGCAUGGUUCAAUAGUGAAAGACGGUUUUGCUGUCACUUAUAGAUGGAUCCGCGCCGCAUUAGCUAGUUGGUAAGGUAACGGCUUACCAAGGCGACGAUGCGUAGCCGACCUGAGAGGGUGAUCGGCCACACUGGAACUGAGACACGGUCCAGACUCCUACGGGAGGCAGCAGUAGGGAAUCUUCCGCAAUGGGCGAAAGCCUGACGGAGCAACGCCGCGUGAGUGAUGAAGGUCUUCGGAUCGUAAAACUCUGUUAUUAGGGAAGAACAAAUGUGUAAGUAACUAUGCACGUCUUGACGGUACCUAAUCAGAAAGCCACGGCUAACUACGUG